ACCUGCAUCUCUUACCACAUUGCAGAUCUUCUGAGGAAGAGACCUUUACCGAAAUGCUUCAUGCUAGGGACACUUGGGGCAACGUUGUUCACUUGGAGAGAUGCCCGAGAUCAUGGACUAUUAGUGAAAGAUUCCCUUAGCCAAAUUGAUCAAGAAGAGGGUUAAGACAAUCAAGUUCUCAUUCAAGUUAAUUUCUCCUUACCUAAAAUGCGAGAAAACAAGUUCAUAAUGCUAAGCAGUGGGUGAGAGCAAUAGUGGCAAAAUUGAAGGAGGAACGACGUUGUCAAGCUAAAAAAAAGAAGGCAUCAAAAAGCUGGUGAUUCAGAAGAAAGAGUAUGUUGUUGAACAAAGGGCGAGCUACAGAGUUCGAAGAGAGGCCUAAGAUCAUGGACUAUUAGUGAAAGAUUCCCUUAGCCAAAUUGAUCAAGAAGAGGGUUAAGACAAUCAAGUUGUCAUUCAAGUUAAUUUCUCCUUACCUAAACUGCGAGAAAACAAGUUCAUAAUGCUAAGCGGCGGGUGAGAGCAUUAGUGGCAAAAUUGAAGGAGGAACGACGUUGUCGAGCUAAAAAAAAAAGAAGGCAUCAAAAAGCUGGUGAUUCAGAAGAAAGAGUAUGUUGUUGAACAAAGGGCGAGCUACAAAGUUCGAAGAGAGGCCUAAGAUCAUGGACCAUUAACGAAAGAUUUCCCUUAGCCAGAUUGAUCACAAAGAGGGUUAAUAUAAUCAAGUUGCCAUCCAAGUAAAUUUCUCCUGACCCAAAUGGUGAAAAGUAAUUUCACAAUGCUGAACAAUGUGUGAAAGCAGCAGUGGCCAAACUGAAGAAGGAAGGUUAGCAUCAUGCUAAAAAGGAGACAUCAAGAAUUGAUAAUUCAAAUGAAGGAACAUGUUGUUGAACAAGGGCNAAUUGAAAGUGAAGCCUCUCACAACUAGCUUC
Molecule: long non-coding RNA, 932 nt
Filed under: Vigna radiata
Lineage: Eukaryota; Viridiplantae; Streptophyta; Magnoliopsida; Fabales; Fabaceae
Description: long non-coding RNA (VRAD_LNC005144)
Source: RNAcentral